GACGAACGCUGGCGGCGUGCCUAACACAUGCAAGUCGAGCGAUCUGGCACUCAAUUUCUUUUGAAAUUGAGUGCCAGAUAGCGGCGGACGGGUGAGUAACGCGUGAGGAACCUGCCUUCUACUAGGGGAUAGCCUCGGGAAACUGGGAUUAAUACCCUAUGACACCUUUAAAUCGCAUGAUUUGAAGGUUAAAGCGUUUUAGCGGUAGAAGAUGGCCUCGCGUCCCAUUAGCUAGUUGGUGAGGUAACGGCUCACCAAGGCUACGAUGGGUAGCCGGCCUGAGAGGGUGACCGGCCACACUGGAACUGAGACACGGUCCAGACUCCUACGGGAGGCAGCAGUGGGGAAUAUUGCACAAUGGGCGAAAGCCUGAUGCAGCGACGCCGCGUGAGCGAAGAAGGCCUUCGGGUCGUAAAGCUCUGUCCUAUGGGAAGAUAAUGACGGUACCAUAGGAGGAAGCCCCGGCUAACUACGUGCCAGCAGCCGCGGUAAUACGUAGGGGGCGAGCGUUGUCCGGAAUGACUGGGCGUAAAGGGUGCGUAGGCGGCCAGGUAAGUCAGAUGUGAAAGGCAUAGGCUCAACCUAUGUAAGCAUUUGAAACUGUCUGGCUUGAGUCGAGGAGAGGAAAGUGGAAUUCCUGGUGUAGCGGUGAAAUGCGUAGAUAUCAGGAGGAAUACCAGUGGCGAAGGCGACUUUCUGGACUUGGACUGACGCUGAGGCACGAAAGCGUGGGGAGCAAACAGGAUUAGAUACCCUGGUAGUCCAUGCUGUAAACGAUGAGUGCUAGGUGUCGGGGAGUAAUCUUCGGUGCCGGAGUUAACACAAUAAGCACUCCGCCUGGGGAGUACGGUCGCAAGACUGA
This 862-nucleotide ribosomal RNA is filed under the name uncultured bacterium. RNAcentral describes it as "bacterial SSU rRNA". It matches the Rfam family "Bacterial small subunit ribosomal RNA", at positions 28 to 897 of the family's 1533-position model. The record is from RNAcentral.